Rhodamnia argentea is the source of this 161-nucleotide long non-coding RNA. RefSeq lists it as uncharacterized. The record is from RefSeq and is a predicted model, not a curated record. The transcript is spliced from 3 exons. Lineage: Eukaryota; Viridiplantae; Streptophyta; Magnoliopsida; Myrtales; Myrtaceae.
AUGGGGGUGAGCGUCAAGCCACGAAUCGGACUCGAGAUCGCACCCCAGAGAGAAAAAAACAAAGAGUUUUUCUUUGUUUUGUUGUGCCUCCUCUCCCUUCUUCAAGCAAAAAUAGACUCAAAUGACAAUGAUGAUCAAUGGUGCAUGACGUCCAUCUCUGC